GUCCACGCCCUAAACGAUGCUUACUCGACGUACGCCCCCUGGGGUGUGCGUCCAAGCGAAAGCGCUAAGUAAGCCACCUGGGGAGUACGCCCGCAAGGGUGAAACUCAAAGGAAUUGACGGGGGUCAGCACAAGCGGUGGAGCAUGUGGUUUAAUUAGAUGAUACGCGAGGAACCUUACCUGGGCUAGAAUGCGAGCGCUAUCCGGUGAAAGCCGGAGUUCCUUCGGGACGCAAAGCAAGGUGCUGCAUGGCUGUCGU
Molecule: ribosomal RNA, 258 nt
Filed under: uncultured bacterium
Lineage: Bacteria
Description: partial 16S ribosomal RNA
Rfam family: Bacterial small subunit ribosomal RNA
Source: RNAcentral